Molecule: transfer RNA, 74 nt
Filed under: Anaerolineaceae bacterium
Lineage: Bacteria; Bacillati; Chloroflexota; Anaerolineae; Anaerolineales; Anaerolineaceae
Description: tRNA-Cys
Rfam family: tRNA
About the family: Transfer RNA (tRNA) molecules are approximately 80 nucleotides in length. Their secondary structure includes four short double-helical elements and three loops (D, anti-codon, and T loops). Further hydrogen bonds mediate the characteristic L-shaped molecular structure. tRNAs have two regions of fundamental functional importance: the anti-codon, which is responsible for specific mRNA codon recognition, and the 3' end, to which the tRNAs corresponding amino acid is attached (by aminoacyl-tRNA synthetases). tRNAs cope with the degeneracy of the genetic code in two manners: having more than one tRNA (with a specific anti-codon) for a particular amino acid; and 'wobble' base-pairing, i.e. permitting non-standard base-pairing at the 3rd anti-codon position.
Source: RNAcentral
GGCGACGUCGCCAAGUGGUAAGGCAGAGGUCUGCAAAACCUUUAUCAUGGGUUCGAAUCCCAUCGUCGCCUCUA